RNAcentral lists this ribosomal RNA (253 nucleotides) under uncultured bacterium. RNAcentral's name for it is "partial 16S ribosomal RNA". It matches the Rfam family "Bacterial small subunit ribosomal RNA", at positions 524 to 776 of the family's 1533-position model. The record is from RNAcentral.
UACGAAGGGGGCUAGCGUUGUUCGGAAUUACUGGGCGUAAAGCGCACGUAGGCGGAUAUUUAAGUCAGGGGUGGAAUCCCGGGGCUCAACCCCGGAACUGCCUUUGAUACUGGGUAUCUCGAGUCCGAGAGAGGUGAGUGGAAUUCCGAGUGUAGAGGUGAAAUUCGUAGAUAUUCGGAGGAACACCAGUGGCGAAGGCGGCUCACUGGCUCGGUACUGACGCUGAGGUGCGAAAGCGUGGGGAGCAAACAGG